This 109-nucleotide transfer RNA is filed under the name Perca fluviatilis (European perch). It matches the Rfam family "tRNA". From Rfam's summary of the family: Transfer RNA (tRNA) molecules are approximately 80 nucleotides in length. Their secondary structure includes four short double-helical elements and three loops (D, anti-codon, and T loops). The record is from Rfam by way of RNAcentral. Lineage: Eukaryota; Metazoa; Chordata; Actinopteri; Perciformes; Percidae.
GUCAGGAUGGCCAAGGGGUCUAAGGUGCCCGACUCAAGGUUAAUCCUUCCUGAACAAUGGGACUUCUGGUCUCUUAAUGUAGGUGUGGGUUCAAAUCCCACUCCUGACA